AUGAAGUGUUGUCGUGAUUUUCAGAUAGGUUGCAAUGCGCAGAUUUUGUUGUGGGGCUGGUCUAUGCGUAGUUCUUGUGCAGCAAGAUACAGUUUUGCAAGGUUUUAUGCUGCUAUGGAACUAGUUUUGAAUUAUCUCUAUGAACUGUUGUGGAUGUCGGCUCUAAUUGAAAUACGGCUGUUUUGGUACACGUGCUAUGUUUUGAUGCUCGGUGCAGGCUGCUAG
This is a non-coding RNA of Vicia faba (fava bean), 225 nucleotides long. The record is from the annotation of a GenBank genome assembly. Lineage: Eukaryota; Viridiplantae; Streptophyta; Magnoliopsida; Fabales; Fabaceae.